Molecule: ribosomal RNA, 429 nt
Filed under: Fusobacteriota bacterium
Lineage: Bacteria; Fusobacteriati; Fusobacteriota
Description: Fusobacteria bacterium partial 16S ribosomal RNA
Rfam family: Bacterial small subunit ribosomal RNA
Source: RNAcentral
UGGGGAAUAUUGCGCAAUGGGCGAAAGCCUGACGCAGCGACGCCGCGUGAGGGAUGAAGGUUUUCGGAUCGUAAACCUCUGUCAGAAGGGAAGAAACCGCACUGUGCUAAUCAGCAGUGCCUUGACGGUACCUUCAAAGGAAGCACCGGCUAACUCCGUGCCAGCAGCCGCGGUAAUACGGAGGGUGCAAGCGUUAAUCGGAAUUACUGGGCGUAAAGCGCACGUAGGCUGCUUUGUAAGUCAGGGGUGAAAUCCCACGGCUCAACCGUGGGACUGCCUUUGAUACUGCUUAGCUUGAAUCCGGGAGAGGGUGGCGGAAUUCCAGGUGUAGGAGUGAAAUCCGUAGAUAGCUGGAGGAACAUCAGUGGCGAAGGCGGCCACCUGGACCGGUAUUGACGCUGAGGUGCGAAAGCGUGGGGAGCAAACAGG